Long non-coding RNA from Thamnophis elegans (Western terrestrial garter snake), 1375 nucleotides. RefSeq lists it as uncharacterized. The transcript is spliced from 4 exons. Lineage: Eukaryota; Metazoa; Chordata; Lepidosauria; Squamata; Natricidae. The record is from RefSeq and is a predicted model, not a curated record.
AUAUGUGUAGAUCCUAUACAUGUUGUCAUCGUCUGGGGAAGAAGCAAGCCUGCCCACCUUAGUCCAUUGCACAACACCAAGAGGAGGAACCACAAUUUCCAAACAUUAACAACAGGACUCACUCUCCCUCCCUCUCUCCCCCAAAUCCUAGGCAAACCUCCUCGUAACUUCGCAGGGAGACCGCCACCCACUCGGGAGCAGGUCGGAGGUUCCCCCCCGUUGGCCCAGCGGCUCCUUCCCCAAGUGGGAUCGCUGGAGCCCGGAAGGCGGUAACGGUGCUGCUUGCACACACAGCCACACCCUGUCGAUAACUCAAGGUGACAAACAUCCAAACAUCAUCUUCCUUAUAUUUUCUCCAUAACAACAAUCCUGUAAGGUGGCCCAGCUUUAAUGGCUAACAUGGGACAAGAGCUUCAGAUUCUGAAAAUCAAAUCCUUCCUCAUUAAUUGACCCUACAUCUUUAUGCUUCCAGUUCUGAAGAGCAUCUAUGGAAGGCUCACUUGUUUGAAUAUUAUGGGCGACCCAGCAGUGUUCCUUUAACACCUAGAUGAUGGAGCCAAGUCAAACAUGGUGGCUUUCUGGCCACAGAAUAACAAAUUAAAAGAAUUGAACGUUGGUAUUGGAGAAAAUUCCUGAGAAUAUGGAGGACAGCCAAUUAAAACAAACAAAUGGAAUAUCAAACAAAUCAGUCUAGAGCUCGAAGCACAAAUGACCAAGCUCAAAUUAUCUUACUUUGGAUACACUAUGCUUAGACCUAGCUCUCUAGAGAAGGUUAUAAUCCUGGCAAAAGGGAAAGAAAAGAGAAGAAGGGAUGCCCAGCAGCAAGGUAGAUGCAGUCAGUUACAGUGGUGAUGGAUGCACUGUUGAGAGACUUGAAUGACGUGGUUAGAAACAGAUUGUCAUGGAGAAAUCUAUGUAAAGUCAACCCCAACUUGAUGGCACCUCAUCAAUCAAUCCGAUUAGAAGUGUGCAAGUGAGGGCCAGCCUACACCACAGCAUGCCAAGUUAAAAAUGGUACUCCUUAAAUAAAAGCAAGUGUUAUGCCCCAAUUCCCACCAUGUUGUGGAAAAUUAAAAUAAGGAGCUGUUUUUGUCUCUCCUUCUGCCCAUCGUAAUACUGAAAUCUGGCAUCAACUCGUGGAGCUCAAUGGAAUGAUGAUUCAAUACAGUAAAAGGAAUGUGCUUCAAAUCACAUGUAAAUAAACUUUGGAAUUCACUACCCUAGGAUAAUGAUGUCCACCAACUUGGAUAGCUUUAAAAUUAGAUUAGAGAAAUAAGAAAGAUACAGGGUAUAAAGUGCAUCCAGUUAUUAAAGGUAAAGGUUUCCAUCGUGCAUAUGUGCUAGUUGUUCCCGACUCUAGGGGGCAGUGUCCAUC